UUUUCGACCUGAACUCAGACGUGGAUACCCGCUG
RNAcentral lists this ribosomal RNA (34 nucleotides) under Trichotylenchus changlingensis. Its description in RNAcentral is "partial large subunit ribosomal RNA". The record is from RNAcentral. Lineage: Eukaryota; Metazoa; Nematoda; Chromadorea; Rhabditida; Telotylenchidae.